GAAAGCGCAUCUUAAUCGUUGAACAAAACCGCACCAAUUAGUAGACAACAGCUCGUAUUGUAUUGAACCAAACGCAGCGUUUAGGACUUUUUUCGAUGUUGUGAAGUGAGUGAAUUUUGUUGAGAGAGAGAAGACAUUUUAGAUCUGAUAGAGAGACGAGAGAGUGAAGGUGGGAGAGAGAGUGAUCGUGUUUGCCAGACCGGUUUCAGCCUGCCCUGCACCUGAAAUCUGAUGACAGCAGAUUUAGCUUUUGGAUCCGUUUGAUCCUGCGGGAACAAGGAAAGUUCAGUUCCGUUUCCCAGAAUUUGGCAAAUCCAGGCCAAAUUCUAGCGUCAUAGCGUCCCGGUCAUCUUGACAUCACAUAGCAACCGUUCACCUCCCCAGGUAUUCGCCCAGCUAAAUUACCAUGGCCUCUUUAUUUGGUAUUGAUGAGUGAUCCGUCGGCAGUAACACCGACUGGAGAGGAGUCUACCAUUGACUAGCAACCUAUAGACAAGGCGUUGAAGCAUGGUACUGAUGUAGCGUGUAUGGAGACCAGUCCUGCAGCCUAGUGGGCAACUUGAGGCUUCAACAUCGGUUUGGAGAGUAUCAAAAAUAAGCUUUAUUGAAUCUGUGAAGCAUAAGAAUUAAGUACAACUGGUGUAGUUU
Long non-coding RNA from Patiria miniata (bat star), 648 nucleotides. RefSeq lists it as uncharacterized. The transcript is spliced from 2 exons. The record is from RefSeq and is a predicted model, not a curated record. Lineage: Eukaryota; Metazoa; Echinodermata; Asteroidea; Valvatida; Asterinidae.